UGGAAGUAAAAAUCGUAACAAGGUCUCCGUUGGUGAACCAGCGGAGGGAUCAUUACCGAGUUUACAACUCCCAAACCCAAUGUGAACGUUACCAAACUGUUGCCUCGGCGGGAUCUCUGCCCCGGGUGCGUCGCAGCCCCGGACCAAGGCGCCCGCCGGAGGACCAACCAAAACUCUUAUUGUAUACCCCCUCGCGGGUUUUUUUUAUAAUCUGAGCCUUCUCGGCGCCUCUCGUAGGCGUUUCGAAAAUGAAUCAAAACUUUCAACAACGGAUCUCUUGGUUCUGGCAUCGAUGAAGAACGCAGCGAAAUGCGAUAAGUAAUGUGAAUUGCAGAAUUCAGUGAAUCAUCGAAUCUUUGAACGCACAUUGCGCCCGCCAGUAUUCUGGCGGGCAUGCCUGUCCGAGCGUCAUUUCAACCCUCGAACCCCUCCGGGGGGUCGGCGUUGGGGAUCGGCCCUGCCUUGGCGGUGGCCGUCUCCGAAAUACAGUGGCGGUCUCGCCGCAGCCUCUCCUGCGCAGUAGUUUGCACACUCGCAUCGGGAGCGCGGCGCGUCCACAGCCGUUAAACACCCAACUUCUGAAAUGUUGACCUCGGAUCAGGUAGGAAUACCCGCUGAACUUAAGCAUAUCAAUAAGCCGGGAGGAA
RNAcentral lists this ribosomal RNA (647 nucleotides) under Trichoderma harzianum. RNAcentral describes it as "eukaryotic LSU rRNA". The stretch from base 258 to 411 matches the Rfam family "5.8S ribosomal RNA". Lineage: Eukaryota; Fungi; Ascomycota; Sordariomycetes; Hypocreales; Hypocreaceae. The record is from RNAcentral.